Molecule: ribosomal RNA, 569 nt
Filed under: uncultured bacterium
Lineage: Bacteria
Description: partial 16S ribosomal RNA
Rfam family: Bacterial small subunit ribosomal RNA
Source: RNAcentral
UAGGGAAUCUUCCGCAAUGGGCGAAAGCCUGACGGAGCAACGCCGCGUGAGUGAUGAAGGUCUUCGGAUCGUAAAACUCUGUUAUUAGGGAAGAACAAAUGUGUAAGUAACUAUGCACGUCUUGACGGUACCUAAUCAGAAAGCCACGGCUAACUACGUGCCAGCAGCCGCGGUAAUACGUAGGUGGCAAGCGUUAUCCGGAAUUAUUGGGCGUAAAGCGCGCGUAGGCGGUUUUUUAAGUCUGAUGUGAAAGCCCACGGCUCAACCGUGGAGGGUCAUUGGAAACUGGAAAACUUGAGUGCAGAAGAGGAAAGUGGAAUUCCAUGUGUAGCGGUGAAAUGCGCAGAGAUAUGGAGGAACACCAGUGGCGAAGGCGACUUUCUGGUCUGUAACUGACGCUGAUGUGCGAAAGCGUGGGGAUCAAACAGGAUUAGAUACCCUGGUAGUCCACGCCGUAAACGAUGAGUGCUAAGUGUUAGGGGGUUUCCGCCCCUUAGUGCUGCAGCUAACGCAUUAAGCACUCCGCCUGGGGGAGUACGACCGCAAGGUUGAAACUUAAAUGAAUUGAC